GGUUCGAUGGUCUAGGGGUAUGAUUCUCGCUUCGGGUGCGAGAGGUCCCGGGUUCAACUCCCGGUCGAACCC
RNAcentral lists this transfer RNA (72 nucleotides) under Trichonephila clavata. It matches the Rfam family "tRNA". Rfam says of the family: Transfer RNA (tRNA) molecules are approximately 80 nucleotides in length. Their secondary structure includes four short double-helical elements and three loops (D, anti-codon, and T loops). The record is from Rfam by way of RNAcentral. Lineage: Eukaryota; Metazoa; Arthropoda; Arachnida; Araneae; Nephilidae.